AUUGAACGCUGGCGGCAGGCCUAACACAUGCAAGUCGAGCGGAUGAGUGGAGCUUGCUCCAUGAUUCAGCGGCGGACGGGUGAGUAAUGCCUAUGAAUCUGCCUGGUAGUGGGGGACAACGUUUCGAAAGGAACGCUAAUACCGCAUACGUCCUACGGGAGAAAGUGGGGGAUCUUCGGACCUCACGCUAUCAGAUGAGCCUAGGUCGGAUUAGCUAGUUGGUGAGGUAAAGGCUCACCAAGGCGACGAUCCGUAACUGGUCUGAGAGGAUGAUCAGUCACACUGGAACUGAGACACGGUCCAGACUCCUACGGGAGGCAGCAGUGGGGAAUAUUGGACAAUGGGCGAAAGCCUGAUCCAGCCAUGCCGCGUGUGUGAAGAAGGUCUUCGGAUUGUAAAGCACUUUAAGUUGGGAGGAAGGGCAGUAAGUUAAUACCUUGCUGUUUUGACGUUACCAACAGAAUAAGCACCGGCUAACUUCGUG
RNAcentral lists this ribosomal RNA (484 nucleotides) under uncultured bacterium. RNAcentral's name for it is "bacterial SSU rRNA". It matches the Rfam family "Bacterial small subunit ribosomal RNA", at positions 30 to 507 of the family's 1533-position model. The record is from RNAcentral.